Molecule: ribosomal RNA, 778 nt
Filed under: uncultured Neocallimastigales
Lineage: Eukaryota; Fungi; Neocallimastigomycota; Neocallimastigomycetes; Neocallimastigales
Description: partial large subunit ribosomal RNA
Rfam family: Eukaryotic large subunit ribosomal RNA
Source: RNAcentral
GUACACGCUGUGACUAGCAUAUCAAUAAGCGGAGGAAAAGAAACUAACAAGGAUUCCCUUAGUAACGGCGAGUGAAGCGGGAAGAGCUCAAAUUUGAAAUCUUCAAGGUUUUACCUUGACGAAUUGUAGUUUAAAGAAGUGUUUUCUGCUGAAGUUUUGGUAAAAGUUCUUUGGAAUAGGACAUCAUAGAGGGUGAGAAUCCCGUAUUUGACCAUUAUUUUCAGCUUUGUGAUACACUUUCAAAGAGUCGGAUUGUUUGGGAAUGCAGUCCAAAAUGGGUGGUAAAUUUCAUCUAAAGCUAAAUAUUGGCGAGAGACCGAUAGCGAACAAGUACCAGUGAGGGAAAGAUGAAAAGAACUUUGAAAAGAGAGUUAAACAGUACGUGAAAUUGUCAAAAGGGAAGCGUUUGACACCAGUGUUGUUUUCUCGAAAAUCAAUUAAAAAUGGCUCGAUUUUGUAUUGCUGAGUACCUUAAAAGCUCACUGUACAUUUUUCGUGUCUUUUUUAAUGCACUUUUCGUUUAACAAGUCAACAUCAGUUUCUUUUGUUGUAAAAGGGUCAUUGGAAGGUGGCUUUCUUUUCGGAGAAGAGUGUUUAUAGCCUUUGGCCUCUGCAAUCGGAAGAGACUGAGGUCUGCAGCGUAGACUCUUCGGGGUUAGAUACAUUUGUGCUAAGUUAUAGCCUUUUCAUAGACAACUUGUUGACUAUAAUCAGUCAUGUAGCUUACUCGCUUAUGCUAUUUUACCUACGCUUAGGAUGUUGAUCUACAGAGCGAGAG